This 301-nucleotide ribosomal RNA is filed under the name uncultured bacterium. Its description in RNAcentral is "partial 16S ribosomal RNA". It matches the Rfam family "Bacterial small subunit ribosomal RNA", at positions 509 to 807 of the family's 1533-position model. The record is from RNAcentral.
CAGCAGCCGCGGUAAUACGGAGGGUGCAAGCGUUAAUCGGAAUUACUGGGCGUAAAGCGCACGCAGGCGGUCUGUCAAGUCGGAUGUGAAAUCCCCGGGCUCAACCUGGGAACUGCAUCCGAAACUGGCAGGCUAGAGUCUUGUAGAGGGGGGUAGAAUUCCAGGUGUAGCGGUGAAAUGCGUAGAGAUCUGGAGGAAUACCGGUGGCGAAGGCGGCCCCCUGGACAAAGACUGACGCUCAGGUGCGAAAGCGUGGGGAGCAAACAGGAUUAGAUACCCGCGUAGUCCCUGUCUCUUAUAC